Molecule: ribosomal RNA, 344 nt
Filed under: Escherichia coli
Lineage: Bacteria; Pseudomonadati; Pseudomonadota; Gammaproteobacteria; Enterobacterales; Enterobacteriaceae
Description: partial 23S ribosomal RNA
Rfam family: Bacterial large subunit ribosomal RNA
Source: RNAcentral
CCUGCUUCCAGGAAAAGCCUCUAAGCAUCAGGUAACAUCAAAUCGUACCCCAAACCGACACAGGUGGUCAGGUAGAGAAUACCAAGGCGCUUGAGAGAACUCGGGUGAAGGAACUAGGCAAAAUGGUGCCGUAACUUCGGGAGAAGGCACGCUGAUAUGUAGGUGAAGUCCCUCGCGGAUGGAGCUGAAAUCAGUCGAAGAUACCAGCUGGCUGCAACUGUUUAUUAAAAACACAGCACUGUGCAAACACGAAAGUGGACGUAUACGGUGUGACGCCUGCCCGGUGCCGGAAGGUUAAUUGAUGGGGUUAGCGCAAGCGAAGCUCUUGAUCGAAGCCCCGGUAA